Long non-coding RNA from Gymnogyps californianus (California condor), 5290 nucleotides. RefSeq lists it as uncharacterized. The record is from RefSeq and is a predicted model, not a curated record. Lineage: Eukaryota; Metazoa; Chordata; Aves; Accipitriformes; Cathartidae. The transcript is spliced from 3 exons.
CACAUUCUGCUUUGGGGUUGGGGCUGGAGGCUGCCCUUCAGGACUGGGCGGCUAUAGCACCAGAAGGUCCCUCCAGGCUGUCAGAUGUGAUGACCAAGAUACAAUCUGUGGUUGCAAAGUCCUGGCUCAGAGGCUGGGGGAGGCUUGGCUGUGUUGGGAAGAAACACUCCAGCCAUGCCCAGGUAUUGCCACUUUGCUAAGCUUGUGCUGUCGAUUGUUGUGGACUGGAAACGGGGUGGUGAGGCCUGCCAGAGCCUCCCCAGUUUGCUUUUCUAGCAGAAGAAGGAAAAACUCAGCCUCACUCUUGCUGUGAUUAUUUUGCCAACUCUUUCUGCUGUAGUAGCACAUCUUGGUGGCCGGACUCUCCUCUUUUAGGAGCCGCUCACAGAGUAAAUGGUAGCCCUUGUCCCAAAGACAUGCCAUUUUUUACGGUUGGCUGUAGCAGGUGGCAUAAGCUGGCAGACAGACCUAACCACAGAUCUAGUUGCUACCUCAACAAAAGAGAGUCCUGGGAAGGGAUUUGAAGGAGGGCUGGAAGGUGUCCCUGUGGAAGUUCAUAGCAAACAUGAGAAAAACUCCAAUGACAACAUCCAAAAAAAGCUGCUGGCAUAGCCGAAGUGCAGAAUGACAAGACCCAGGCUGUACAUCAAUAGGAAAAUUUUGGCUGCUGAGAUGUGAAAUGGGACCUUGAGUGCUGGCUGUACUUGCCUGCUCAGGCCCCAGGACGUGGCUGCGCUCCCCAUCACCCCGUGAGAAGCAGAUGCCCAGCUGGGAGCUGGUCCUUUGGUAAUGGCCUGCGAAUUUCCAUCGGCUCCGUUAAUUGCUGCCUGGCUGCUAGUUACAACUCCAAGUCAAUUGCUGGGAGUGUUGGGCCCUGCAAAACAACCCCUUGAAAUCAGUUGUUAGUCCAAUUAACAACCAGUUUGGCUUCAAUUCAGGCUGUUAACCAUCAAACAGCUAACUGCUGGUAAUGAUUGAUUUCUCAGCAGUUGGGGCUGCAGUGGAGGAGCCAACCUGUUUCACAAAAUGCCAUUAAAGCCAAGACUUUGUGAACGCAUCUGGCUCAGACAAACAUUCGAGCUGUCCCACACCAGUAGAGCAGGCAAGGUGAUGACCAGGAUUUCUAUCCAUUUUGAUUAAAGCAUGGGUUGUUGCGGUGUGUCAGGAUGAACUGGCAGCCAGCAGGCCAGUGUUGCCACCACACCGUGCUCCAGGUAGGCAGCCACCACUGUUUGUAAGGCAACCACUUGUACUCAUGGAGCAUCACAGCAUUCAAAGCCCCCAUGGAUGGGAACUGCUCGGUGUCCAGCUCCCUUCCAUAGUUACUGUUCCAGCCAGCAAAUCUGCAAAGAUUAGUUUGGAUGUUCAGAUGUUUCCACAAAUCACCUGGGUCAUUUCCAUCUGCACUACCAGCUGGGAGCUGGUACUGGGAGAGAGCAAUUCCCAUCAGCAUAUGCAAGCCUGGGGAUGCCUCGAGCAGCCUGGGACACUGGCCUGUGUCUGCUGGUAGGCAACACAGACUCAUCUGCAGAUGUGAGUAUCUCUAUGAAAUCUGUAAAAUACCCUUUGAGUCCCAGCGUUCAGGCAGGGUUUUGUUUAAGAUUACUGGUCAGGUCUUCAUCCGUUUCCUUCCGCUGUUUCAGGCCCUGGUUCUCCACUGUGCACUGGCAGGUUGGUUCGAACACAUUGCUGGUGCUACAUCAAGGGCUUUUUCCCCCGGGAUAUUUUCCCUCUGAUCAAAGUGGCUGAUUCAAGCUGUAGCAUGUACGGGGAGGAGGGAGACAGCCACCUGUUAGGGAAAGACUUUGAAAACGCGGAGGACGCGCUGCAGAGGUUGACCUUGUGAAAUGUAAACUCCAACGGCGCCGGGCAGCAGAGCGGUGCAGGGUGAGGAGUUAGCACCUCGGCGCACAACACCAUGGUCCUCCUGCUUUUGAGGGCACUCGGGGACCUGUGGUCCUGCCAGGGCCUUGGCAGCGCGGCCUGAGCUCUGUUUCUGAAGCUGGGUCCCGGCAGCAGGACACGGGCACCUGAGACCCAUGUAGAUGUUUCAAAGAUCUUCCCACAAGGUUCCUCCAAGUGCAGAACUGGUUCCUCCCGGUGCCAUGCUUUUGCCAUCCUUGCACAGGAGGUACGGUUGUCCCAGAUUCCCACCAGUACAUACCCCAGAAUGGUGCACGUUUUCUGUAAUUAGCUGUAUUAGAUAUUCCUUGUGCAAACAGGAAAAAGUUGCUUAUUUCAUCAAAUAACUACUAAAAGUAGCUCUGCUCUCUCCCAUGUUGGGAUUACCUUGCCGCCCUUAUUGAGGAGGCUGGGGAGGGCGGGUUGCAUCUGGAACUCCCCCUGUGCUAGGCAGUGCAUGUGCAGUGAGCUUCUGCAUCCCGGGGGUCGGUCAGGGUUUCUCCCUCCGGUCCGUACAAGGAGAAACAGAUUCUCACAAAGGGAAAAAUGAGAAGUUUGGGGUAAGCAGGAGACCUGACAACCCAGUUUUCCCACUCCUCAGGUCUGUGAGCAAAUGUUUUAUUUGCAGCGUGUGUAUUUAACUGGGUUGAAUACAGCCAUCCUGGUCUGUGCAUCUUCUGAGUGUCUCAUUCCCCCUCAGCUGUUGCUAAAUGCAUCCUUCCAGGAGGUGGUGACGGGUGCCUCUCACCUGCUGGAGCCGGGUGAGCUCUGGCUGCUCAGACUUUUUCUGUGUAACAGGGAAGGUCAGUUAUAAACAGAAACGGUUGGUUUUGUUGGGGGCUUUUUUUAGACAUCAAAAAUGCUCCAUCAUCAUCAGGCUGGCUUAGCUUUCAGCGGCCAACGCAAACGGAGCCAAACCCUCAGCGGAGAAUUCAGCAAGAGAAGCAGCAAAGACUUUCCAGGGCUAUUUCGCCAAAGUCUCGCAUCCUCAUUCCUCCUUAUAUUUUGUGCCAGAGCAGCCGAUGCUGUUCUGGGCUCUGCGCAGACACAGGGUGAGCCCUGAGGAACUUCCAGAUGGAGCUGAAAGCAAGUGGCAUGGCCCCAUUUUAGAGGAGUGGGAGGAAUUAGUGCACAGAAAGAUUAAGAUUUGAAAGAAAUCCUGGCAGAGCUGCGAAUCAGCUGAAUCAAUCUGCAAGAGGCCAAGAAACGUUAUGGAAGUGGUCCAAUGGGGGAAGCAAUGUAUAUAUGCAAUAAUCUGAGCUAUAAAUGAAGUACAAAACCACAAAACUGAUCUUUUUCUAAACCUCGUGUCCGAUUCCCCAGCUUUGACUGAAGGUUGGACUCUGUCCCGUAUCCUCACUGGAAGGAACCUGCUUUUGUACGUGAGCAGAUUUCAAGGUCAUGGGGAUUACUCUGAAUGUCCGUCCCAGUCUUCUGCAAUACUCGGUUGAGAGGAUCCUGCUCAGUGCCUUCUGAGCGAAAGCCGUAGUCCUUAUUUAAGGAAAAGGAAAGAAGGAUAUCCUGCAGGGACUCCAUAUUUCAGUAUUAUUUGGUAUUUCUGGUUGAAAAUUGCCUAACUUCAACUCAUGGCACUUGAUCUUGUACUCUCUUCUUCCAGCUUACAGUGCCAUCCAACCUGACCAAGCUUCUGCAGGCACUGCAAGUGGGUUUUCCAGGUCUCUGCAAGCUCUUGUAGGGAUUUUUUAAAGCUGAUUUCCAUCUGUCAACAUCUCUUGUGAAGUGUAGCCAAGUGUUUUGGCUGCAGCAUCUGGCGAUGGAGUCUGGCGUUGGCUUGCUUGUGUCCAGGAUCUUGGGAGGAGAAAUGAUACAGUGACCACCCACUAGAGUGAUGUCUCUCUGCUCAGGGCUGGUGUUUUCCAAGAGGUUCUUGCAGGGACUUGCAGAGCAACUGAAGCCAACUGUGGAGCUGUAACCCUCAUUCAGUCGGGACCCCUGUAACUUCAGUCUGUUUUGAAGAAGAGAGGAAUGGAGGUGCAGCUAAGGCAUGGUUACAGUCUCCUGUCCCUUGUUUCCUGCUGCAAAGGCUACAGCACGUCUCUAAAGCAAAGGUAGCAUUUAUUUUACAAUGAAUCCUGAAAUCCCAAGUCUCAUGCUUGCCCAGGAGGGCUCCAUCUCUGGUCGUUCAAAUACUUAGUUGGUGAAGUCUGAGCUAUUUUUGCUCUCAGCUGUGAUGGGUAAAGCCACAGUCGUUCCUCUGACUUCACUAGAAUUGCUCUGGAUGAGCUCGGAUGUGAGCAGAGGUUGGUUUGAACUAAUUAUCCUCAAUGCCCAUACCUGCAAUUCCCCUACACUAAGCCAGCACAGCAACAGCAGUGAGUGCGGAGGUUUUCAUAUACCUGAAGGUUUUGGCAGAAUCUGCAUUUCAAGAGCUGGUUGCUGUCCCCAGAUGCUGUCCCACAGCACUUGCUGAGGUGUGACCAAAAGAUGGAGGGGACAUGACUGGGCAAGGAGAGGAAAGGUGCUGCGGAAACUGCAAAUUCCCAAGGCUGUGGCUUGUGGCAGUACGUGCAGCACCUGCCGCACUGACCCAAAUCCCACGACUAUCACAACCUGGUUAAUUAUAAGAAAAGGUCUUUCCUGCUAAUUGUUGCUGGCUGGUAAAGGGGCAUCCCCAGCCCCUAAAGGACUGGGGGGACCGAGAGGGGAGACGGUGGUUGCUGACACGUGCUGAGCCCUCACAGCCUCUGUUGCAAGGCCUGGACAAGUGUCUGCACUUCACUCCCUCUCAGAGCGAUCAUUGCAAGGAGCUGAAGGUUUCACCACCUUCCCCUGCAGAGCCGUGGGUUCGCCGUGCACUUGACAUCGGUGCAGGGGGACGACUUGAGCUUGAUGACUGUCUCCACCACAGCAGCUGCCUGUCCUCCACCAACGCUCCCCUCCAACCGCCUCACAAGAAGGAGAUGUGCCGUUCCUGGCACAAGGCUGAACACCAGGGUGGCACAGUGUGACGUGGAGGUGGCCUCCCCAUGGGCCAUGCUGCCAGCUGGUGCAGUGGGAUGUGUCAGCCCCCAGGCCACUAUGGUCCCAGGCAUUCCAGUCACCAGCCAGGGCUCCCCAAAUCAAGUCUGGGGCUCCCUGGGGGGAGCUUGCCUUAAGCAUCAGCAAGGAUGAGAAACUUCCACAUAGGGAAGAGAAAAUCACAGCUGAGUUUUUUGCGCUGAUGGCGAGGCUCCGUGAGCUGGGAUUUCGGACAAACGCUCAACACUGUGACAUGGGAUCACCUUACACAUGGUGAGGAUGGGCAUUUCUUUUGUAUUUGCUACCUAUGGUGAGGAAGGCUUUCUUGGUGAUGUGAGCAAAGGGACAAACAGCGGAGGGGACAAAGCAGGCAGCAGCGUGGGUAAGUCCCAGCUGGAAAGCCAGAAGA